RNAcentral lists this ribosomal RNA (465 nucleotides) under uncultured bacterium. Its description in RNAcentral is "partial 16S ribosomal RNA". It matches the Rfam family "Bacterial small subunit ribosomal RNA", at positions 28 to 507 of the family's 1533-position model. The record is from RNAcentral.
GACGAACGCUGGCGGCGUGCUUAACACAUGCAAGUCGAACGGAAAGGCCCUGCUUGCAGGGUACUCGAGUGGCGAACGGGUGAGUAACACGUGGGUGAUCUGCCCUGCACUUCGGGAUAAGCUUGGGAAACUGGGUCUAAUACCGGAUAGGACCGCACCUUAGUGUGUGUGGUGGAAAGUUUUUUCGGUGUAGGAUGAGCUCGCGGCCUAUCAGCUUGUUGGUGGGGUAAUGGCCUACCAAGGCGGCGACGGGUAGCCGGCCUGAGAGGGUGUACGGCCACAGUGGGUCUGAGAUACGGCCCAGACUCCUACGGUAGGCAGCAGUGUGGAAUAUUGCACAAUGGGCGCAAGCCUGAUGCAGCGACGCCGCGUGGGGGAUGAAGUCCUUCGGGUUGUAAACUCCUUUCGCUAGGGACGAAGCUUUUUGUGACGGUACCUAGAUAAGAAGCACCGGCUAACUACGUG